GAACAGGGGAUCACCUUACAAUGUCAAUUUUGGGUGGAUAUAGUUCCUAAUGAUUGAACCACAAUAAAGACAUAUUUUGGUGAGAACAGCAAGACCUUCACCUGCAGGUCUGAGGUUGGAGGAGGUCCCUUCCUGAGGCACAGGGUCUUUCUCAGCAGCAGACUUGCUGCUUGAAGUGCUGGCUCAGAGUCUGGCUCUACUGGCAGAUGGCCACAGAAGAUCAAGCAGGGUCCUGGUGGGCCAAUUUCUCAGGGUCUACCUUGUUGAUAGGACUGUUCUGAGCAGGCUGAGCCCUGGAUGCUACUUAGCCCAGGCUAUGGGAGGACAAGCCCUCAGGUUGUAGCCCUCCUCCUGCUUGGCAGUGGAGAGGGGUCCUGCAGGCUCUGCCCUCAAGAGUGGUUGGGGGUCCCAGCAGGGCCUCUGAUUUCAGUGAAUAUCUCUGGGCACAUGACUGGUGCUUCUCUGCACCAAGACCUGGCUUUGCACCAGUCGAUACACUGCCCUGUAUGCAUACCAGACCAGCCUCGCUGUCCCUGCCAGAUCCCCCAGUGAAUGGACAAAGAGUGCUGUUCAGUCCUGUGCUCACGAGGAGCAGGGAGAUAAAUAAGAGCAGAGACUCAAGGAAAGCUAGCACCAGACCUUGGAAGGAAAAGCCCUUGGGACCAAGAAAUCACAGGGGACAGACUGAGCACAUGUGUCAGGGUGCCCUGCCCCUGACAAGUGUCCCUCCUCCAGGGGUUUUCUGCUGGAGUGAACACGGAGCCUCACAGCUGCAGCUGGCAGCAUCUGGAAGGACCUGGAGGCUGCAUCUGAGCCGGCACCUCCUGGCCAAUAUGGCCUGGGCACUGGUGCCCAAUUUAAUGGCAGAAAUAAAUCAUUUGGUCAAAGUUCUUUUGAAAGAAGAGAGAGAAAUUCAUUCUGAAGCUACUCAGCACUGUGCACACACUAAUGGAGCAUUCUAGAGAGAAAGCAACCAUUAAAAUGUCCCCGAUGUGAUGUGUGACUUUAAACCACAUUAUAUGUUCACAUGAACUGUUUGGCUGGAAGGGUUACAUGCCAGCAGAGGGGUGAGGUGAGGACGAGGGUAAAAUGCUGCUUACUUAGGCAUCUGCAUCUGCAGUCCUUCUCUGCUCUGAAGAGCACCGUGCCCCAGGCACACGAUGGUGCCUAGGGAACUGUGUCCCUGAAGGCCACCUUGUUUGGCACUGAAGGCUAUUCUGGUGGAAUGGAGUCUGUGGGUGCGUCUGCCAGCCUGAGUUGGUGGAAACCCACUUCUAUGAUAACUCAUGCCCAGGAGGCGAGGGCCUGCCCCAUGAGUUCUUAGGACUUGGGUCAAGGCCGCCCUACCUGCACUGGUCACUUGGGUUUAAGAGGGGACAUUGGGUCAAAUGAGAGAGAGGGCCAGCAGGAGGGGAUUGGACCUGAGGAAGCAGCCACAUGGAACUUCAUCCUGCAGUGUCUCUUUAAGUGGGAAGCAGGGCUGUCUGCUGAGUUGGUACACUGCAGGUGCAUCCACAGAGCACUCAUCCAUAACUUGGCUUGUUGGGCUUCUGUGUUAAUGUAAAAGCAUCACAUUUUGGCCACUGAGAGAAGAUUCUCUCAUGUGAGAAGCUAUUUUGGUUCCAAACAUGGCAAUGUCUUUGUGGAUCCUCCCUCCCCAACAGCCACAGUCUGCAGACCUGGGCUGGGUGUGAGGCCAGGCUGCCUGUGGUGUGACCCGGUGGAGACACAAGGCAUCCGCCCUGGGAGCUGUGGCCUCACAGACCUGCUGGGGACCACAGGGACUGCUGGUGGACACUGGCAGCAGGUGGCCGUGUGUACCCUGGCUGGGGUGCAUGAGGCCUGGUGUGCUGGUGUCGGCAGCAGGGCCCUUGCAGCAGGCAUCCCACUCAGUAUGUGAUAAGAAAGACUGACUCAAGGCCUCCUCAGAGGUGUUUACAUUUCUGUAUCCAGGCCUGGGUUCAAUGCCCAGGACAGUGGAAAAGCCACUUUUGUGUGGACUUCUGCAGAUUGUGAGCCUCUGAGUUCCUCCCUCUACAUGCUGGGUACAAAGUUCAAAAACUUUCUGAACUCAGUUUUCAGGGGGAUUGAUGAACUGUGGCAAAAGCCUCCCUUCUGAACCUGGCUGCAGCCAAUGAACCUAGUUCCUGCUAAUUCCUUGAUGUCCAGCCUCAUCUGUCCCACAACACUGCCUGAGGGAACAGGGCCUGUACCAGAGGCUGGUAGUUCUGUGCAAGAGCAGGAAGGAGCCAGCCACAUGCAGUUGAGCUGAGUCCUGGAUUCUGGACAUCUGGCCCCUUAGCCCCCUGUGUAGCUACCUUGACUUCCAGGAAUGUUCCCUCCUUCCCUGUUCCAUUCCUGUCCCCUGGGAAUUCUCCCAGGGAGUUGAUCCACCUGCUGCCUCUGCCUGAUCCAGGCUGUUUGUUCAUUCCGUGAAUAUGGAACUUAGCUGGGAGGGAGUGAGCCUGGACCCUGACAGCUAACUGAUUGCCAGGAAGUGGUGAAUCAUGGGGAAGGAUGUGGAGCCCAGAAAUGGACCAAGAGCCCCAUCUGGGAGUUGCUGCUUGUGGCCUGAGUCAGUCUUCACCCCAGCUAUUGCAUCCUGAACUGCUCAGUUACUGGAGCCAGCAAGUUCCCGUCCCUGUGAGCAGCUCUGAGUCGGGUUUUCUGCCUCUUUCUGCCUGAAGUGCCUGCUGGAUACCAGGUGCUUCCAGGGUACAAUGUGGAACUGGGGCUGCAGCUGGCUGGUCCUGGCUUCUGCCACUGUUCUGAGAGCAGGAGCUGCUGUGGGCAAUGUCUGGCCCAGUGAGAGAGAUCAAGGUGGUGAACAGAGAGCCCUGAGGCCACAGGUGUCCCUUAACAUCUCCCAGAGCUCUCUGGCCACCCAGGAAAGGGUCCAGUCAGGAGCAUUCUCUGGAGGUUGUCAUUGAGGAGCCAUUGGUGAGGAAGGUGCAGUCCCCAGAGGGGGCAGGAAGAGGAGAAGCAGCAGUAUAGUAAAGCUGCUGCCAAUGGAGAUUUUUAUUUUAUUUUUUUUAUUCAUAGUUCUUUCCACAUAGCCUGAAGCCACUUUGUGUGGAGUUGACCUUCAGUCAUCAUCUGCUGGCUGGCUGGCUGGCUGGCUGGUUAGGUAGACAGAUCAGUGAAUUAACAGAUGGAUGGUGAGUGAUGGUGAGUGGAUGGAAGAAAAGAUGGAUGGAUGAGUUAAGGAUUAAUGAAUGGAUGGAUGAAUGAGUGGACAAAUGGAUGAAUGUAGGAUGCGUGAGUGAAUUAGUGAAUGGUUCUAUGGAUGAAUGGAUGAACAGAAGAAUGGAGGAAUACAUGGAUGAAUGAGUGAAUGGAUAAUAAAUGGAUGGGUGGAAGAAUGGAAGGAUGGAUGGAUACAUGAAGGAAGGAAGGAUGGAAUGAUCAGUGAAUGGAUGGAUGGAUGCAUGAGGAAGGAAGGAUGGAUGGGUGGAAUGAUCAGUGAAUGGAUGGAUGCAUGCAUGUGGGAGGAAGGAAGGAUGGAUGGAUGGGUAGAUGAAGGAAAGAAGGAUGGAUGGAAUGAUCAGUGAAUAUAUGGAGGGAUGCAUGAGGGAGGAAGAAAGGAUGGAUAUGGAUGGAUGCAUGAAGAAUGGAUUCAUGAAUAAAGGAUGAAUGGAUGAAGAAGGAUGGAUGGAUGGAUGAAAUGAUGAGUGAAUGGACAGAGGGAUGGUUGAUGAAUACAUGGAUAAACCAUAGCCAGGUGAUGACACUAGUAAGGUUGGAGUUGAGUUCAUGGGAAUGCAAAGGUGUAGAGGCCAGGAAAUAAAAGUUAUAGAAACCUCAUGUUCUUAGGCUCAGUGGUAUCAACAUUAAACCCAAUCUUAGACUGAUAUUCUCAGAAGAAACAAAGAUUUUUUUUUAACAGAAAAAUUAAGAUUUCAAGAGUAAUUAAGGAAUGAUGAUUCCUGUGAUCAUUAGAACUGAGAUGCGUUUAUGAUGUCAAGUGGAAAACAGCUGUUUUUAAAUUCAACUUUUUCAUUUCCCAUGAGAUUUAAAUGUUUUAUGAUACCUUAAAACAACUUGCUGAAGAGAACUCUUUGUAGACAGUCUACAUACAGAAUGGCCCUGACUCCAUACAGUGUAUAUAUCAACUUCAGUAAAAGAUACUGUAUAAGUUUUAUUGGAUUUAUGAAAAGAAACGCAAUAAUAUGCACAUAUAUUGGAUUAUUUGAUAAUUUAACACGUGUACACACCUGCAAAACCCAAAACAAAAACAUGACUACCUCUUCCCUUCCAAAGUCUCUUCAGUCCCUGUCUCCUGCAGGGAAACACAGAUCCUGCUUUCUAUCACCAUUCCUUUAUUUGCAACUUCCAGAAUUGUACAUAAAUGAAUCCAC
RNAcentral lists this long non-coding RNA (4358 nucleotides) under Marmota monax (woodchuck). Lineage: Eukaryota; Metazoa; Chordata; Mammalia; Rodentia; Sciuridae. The record is from RNAcentral.